AUAUAUAUAGAGAGAGAGAGAGAGAGAGAGAGAGAGAGAGAGAGAGAGUCCGGCCACUAUACUCUUAUAAGUACGAUCACCCUCGUACUCAUAAGUUGUUUUCGAUGAUAGAGCUUCCGAAUCGACGAUCCACACCGUUAAACGUUAUCUAGAGCAUUUAAAACAUCUAGAAAUCAAAUUUCAUAAUUUUUCGACAUCAUUUACCUUACGAUCAAAAGGUCACAAAAUUGACAAUUUUUAACGGCCGAUAUAGGAUAUUUGCUAGUUUAACGGUGUAAAAGAAUCGGA
Molecule: long non-coding RNA, 288 nt
Filed under: Ananas comosus (pineapple)
Lineage: Eukaryota; Viridiplantae; Streptophyta; Magnoliopsida; Poales; Bromeliaceae
Description: long non-coding RNA (ACOM_LNC014584)
Source: RNAcentral